Molecule: ribosomal RNA, 301 nt
Filed under: uncultured bacterium
Lineage: Bacteria
Description: partial 16S ribosomal RNA
Rfam family: Bacterial small subunit ribosomal RNA
Source: RNAcentral
CAGCCGCCACGGGAAUACGGAGGGUGCAAGCGUUAAUCGGAAUUACUGGGCGUAAAGCGCACGCAGGCGGUUUGUUAAGUCAGAUGUGAAAUCCCCGAGCUUAACUUGGGAACUGCAUUUGAAACUGGCAAGCUAGAGUCUUGUAGAGGGGGGUAGAAUUCCAGGUGUAGCGGUGAAAUGCGUAGAGAUCUGGAGGAAUACCGGUGGCGAAGGCGGCCCCCUGGACAAAGACUGACGCUCAGGUGCGAAAGCGUGGGGAGCAAACAGGAUUAGAUACCCCAGUAGUCCCUGUCUCUUAUAA